RNAcentral lists this long non-coding RNA (815 nucleotides) under Homo sapiens (human). Its description in RNAcentral is "non-protein coding TEX41:70". The record is from RNAcentral. Lineage: Eukaryota; Metazoa; Chordata; Mammalia; Primates; Hominidae.
CACUCAGCUUUCUGAAAUGGUGUCCCACCGCAAGGACUGGAGAAGGGCACCCUUGGAAAUGCAAUGCUACAUCUCAAUGGGAUUUUCCAGUACAAAGAUUCUUUUCAAAUAACAUAAUUGUGGAUACACACCACUCCUACAGUGACACAAAGCAAAUUCGAGCGAUUUUCUUAUUUGAGUUCAAAAUGGGCUGUAAAGCAGUGGAGACAACUCGCAACAUCAACAAUCCAUUUGGCCCAGGAACUGCUAAUGAAUGUACAGUGGAGUGGUGGUUCAAGAAGUCUGGCAAAGGAGAUGAGAGCCUUGAAGAUGAGGAGUGUAGUGGCUGACCAUUGGAAAUUGACAACAACCAAUUAAGAGCGGUCAUCAAAGCUGAUCCUCUUACAAUGACACAAGAAGUUGCCAAAGAACUCAAUGUUGACCAUUCUUUGGUCAUUCAGCAUUUGAAGCAAAUUGGGAAGGUGAAAAAGCUUGAUGAGUGGGUGCCUCAUGAGCUGAGCGAAAAUUUUUUUAAAAAUCAUUGUUUUGAAGCGUUGUCUUCUCUUAUUCUACGCAACAACAGUGAACCAUUUCUCUAUCAGAUUGUGAUGUGCAAGGAAAAGUGGAUUUUAUAUGACAAUUGGUGAUGCCCAGCUCAGUGGUUGGACAGAGAAGAAACUCCAAAGCACUUCCCAAAACCAAACUUGCACCAAAAAAAGGUCAUGGUCACCAUUUGGUGGUCUGCUGCCGGUGUAAUCGACUACAGCUUUCUGAACCCCAGCAAAUCAUUACGUCUGAAAAGUAUGCUCAGCAAAUUGAUGAGAUGUACUGAAAAC